GAUGAACGCUGGCGGCGUGCCUAAUACAUGCAAGUCGAGCGAACGGACGAGAAGCUUGCUUCUCUGAUGUUAGCGGCGGACGGGUGAGUAACACGUGGAUAACCUACCUAUAGGACUGGGAUAACUUCGGGAAACCGUAGCUAAUACCGGAUAAUAUUUUGAACCGCAUGGUUCAAAAGUGAAAGACGGUCUUGCUGUCACUUAUAGAUGGAUCCGCGCUGCAUUAGCUAGUUGGUAAGGUAACGGCUUACCAAGGCAACGAUGCAUAGCCGACCUGAGAGGGUGAUCGGCCACACUGGAACUGAGACACGGUCCAGACUCCUACGGGAGGCAGCAGUAGGGAAUCUUCCGCAAUGGGCGAAAGCCUGACGGAGCAACGCCGCGUGAGUGAUGAAGGUCUUCGGAUCGUAAAACUCUGUUAUUAGGGAAGAACAUAUGUGUAAGUAACUGUGCACAUCUUGACGGUACCUAAUCAGAAAGCCACGGCUAACUACGU
This 496-nucleotide ribosomal RNA is filed under the name uncultured bacterium. Its description in RNAcentral is "partial 16S ribosomal RNA". It matches the Rfam family "Bacterial small subunit ribosomal RNA", at positions 28 to 506 of the family's 1533-position model. The record is from RNAcentral.